UACGGGGGGGGCAAGCGUUGUUCGGAAUUACUGGGCGUAAAGGGCUCGUAGGCGGCCAACUAAGUCGGACGUGAAAUCCCCAGGCUCAACCUGGGAACUGCGUCCGAUACUGGAUGGCUUGAAUCCGGGAGAGGGAUGCAGAAUUCCAGGUGUAGCGGUGAAAUGCGCAGAUAUCAGGAGGAACACCAAUGGCGAAGGCAGCACUCUGGGACGUGACUGACGCUGAGACGCGAAAGCGUGGGGAGCAAACAGG
RNAcentral lists this ribosomal RNA (253 nucleotides) under uncultured bacterium. Its description in RNAcentral is "partial 16S ribosomal RNA". It matches the Rfam family "Bacterial small subunit ribosomal RNA", at positions 524 to 776 of the family's 1533-position model. The record is from RNAcentral.